UGGGGAAUAUUGGACAAUGGGCGAAAGCCUGAUCCAGCCAUGCCGCGUGUGUGAAGAAGGUCUUCGGAUUGUAAAGCACUUUAAGUUGGGAGGAAGGGCAGUAAGCGAAUACCUUGCUGUUUUGACGUUACCGACAGAAUAAGCACCGGCUAACUCUGUGCCAGCAGCCGCGGUAAUACAGAGGGUGCAAGCGUUAAUCGGAAUUACUGGGCGUAAAGCGCGCGUAGGUGGUUCGUUAAGUUGAAUGUGAAAGCCCCGUGCUCAACCUGGGAACUGCAUCCAAAACUGGCGAGCUAGAGUAGGGCAGAGGGUGGUGGAAUUUCCUGUGUAGCGGUGAAAUGCGUAGAUAUAGGAAGGAACACCAGUGGCGAAGGCGACCACCUGGGCUCAUACUGACACUGAGGUGCGAAAGCGUGGGGAGCAAACAGG
RNAcentral lists this ribosomal RNA (429 nucleotides) under Pseudomonadota bacterium. Its description in RNAcentral is "Proteobacteria bacterium partial 16S ribosomal RNA". It matches the Rfam family "Bacterial small subunit ribosomal RNA", at positions 355 to 776 of the family's 1533-position model. The record is from RNAcentral. Lineage: Bacteria; Pseudomonadati; Pseudomonadota.